RNAcentral lists this long non-coding RNA (1144 nucleotides) under Strigops habroptila (Kakapo). Its description in RNAcentral is "lncRNA (ENSSHBG00005016225.1)". Lineage: Eukaryota; Metazoa; Chordata; Aves; Psittaciformes; Psittacidae. The record is from RNAcentral.
UUUUUUUUUUUUGAGAAAAAACUAUUUCUGAACUUAGUACACGGAGUAGAAAUUAUAGUUUUUCUUCUUUAAGUGCUCACUUGAGGCCAUAAUGUGCCAUUGAUUUUAAAACACAGCUCCUUACUGACUUUAAUGAGUUCAGCUUAAAAAAACCAACCCUAAGGGCCUGAUCUGGCCUUGGAUUUUGGCUAUCGACUGUGAGGGGCAAAUGUUCCUCCAGAGCGCCUGGAACCGGAGCAGGCGCUCACCUGCAGCUGUCUGUGUGCCAGGGAAGGACAAAUGCCCGCCUGGGCCACCGCUAGCUUUGCCUGGGGAGCAAAGGUUCGACAGAAGGUGCCGCUCACCACACGGGCCUUUCUCUCUCCUGUUUACCCCAAGCGGCACUGUCUCCGUCAUGGUUGUCGUGCAGGUCUUCUCCUGGGCUCCCCUGGGUGGAAAACAUGUCAGGAGAUGAGUGCUUACAAACACUGCACACACCACAGGCAGAGGGGAACGCGGCCUGCACUGCCCGUGCAGAGCGAGGGCCAAGGCCUUCCUCCUCCAUUGGCUUUAUGCUGUAUGUCCUAUUUAUCUAUAUACAGGAACAUAUAGGCGCCUUAGACUGUGUACAGCAGUCCUAAAGCACUUUGAUUACAGGCCACAGUAUCUCUGAGGGAACGAAGGAAAAAAAUAAACAUUUAUGAAGUGAGCCAGAGCGCAGGCCGCUGGUGGCAGACCUCUCCAGGCCACCCCUGCCCGGGAAAGCGCUCGCCAUUCUCCUCUGGGGAGGUUUCCACACCUCACGUCCCGAAACGAGGGGUUCCCGCGCCCCCCCCCGGCCCAGCACGCGGCCCCGCCGUGCCAUCCGGGGCGACUUCCUGCCCUUGGAAACACCUCAGGCCCGGGGACACGGAAAGUUUUCCAAAAGUCCAAAUCCGCCAGUGCCCCCUUCAGUUGUUGUUUUCUCUCCCCUUGAACUCAGGGCGUUGGGCUUAGUCCAAUUAAAAAAUUCGGCCCCGCUUUCCAAAUCCACCUUUCCUGCCCUCCCCCCGACGGCCCCCCCCCACCGCCGCCAGCCAACGGAGAGAGGCCGAUCGGUGCGAGCCUGGCGAGGGAGGGCCCUUUCCCCGGCCCCGAGCCCCGGAACAACCGGUAGUAGUCGUUU